RNAcentral lists this ribosomal RNA (1179 nucleotides) under Triticum aestivum (bread wheat). RNAcentral describes it as "partial small subunit ribosomal RNA". Lineage: Eukaryota; Viridiplantae; Streptophyta; Magnoliopsida; Poales; Poaceae. The record is from RNAcentral.
AUGGCGCCGUCCAAGAAGGUGCUGAUGCUGUGCGGCGACUACAUGGAGGACUACGAGGCGGCCGUGCCCUUCUACGCGCUGGCCGGCCUGGGCGUCGCCGUCCACUGCGCCACCCCGGGCAAGGCCCCCGGCGACCCCUGCCUCACCGCCGUGCACGACUUCCUCGGCUACGAGCUCUACACGGAGAUCCCCGGCCACCGCUUCCGCGUCACCGCCGACUUCGCCGCGGCGGCGGCCGACCCGUCCUCGUACGACGCCCUCGUCGUCCCGGGCGGCCGCUUCGUGGAGCAGCUCAGCGUUGACCCCGAGGCGGUCGCCCUCGUCGGGGCGUUCGCGGGCGAGCUGCGCAGGCCGGUCGUGCUCACGUGCCACAGCCAGGUCCUGCUCGCCGCUGCGGGCGCCAUGGGCGGCGUCCGCUGCACGGCGUUCUUCAGCCUGCGGCCCGUCGUGGAGCUGGCCGGCGGGACCUGGGUCGAGCCCGAUCCCUUCAGCCUGUGCGUCGCCGAUGGCCACGUCCUGACCGCCAUCGGGUGGCCCGCGCACGGGGAGAUCAUCGGGCAGCUCGUGCGCGCCUUGGGCGGCCGAGUCCUCGGCGGGCGCGGCCAGGGCGUCCUCUUCCUCUGCGCCGACUACGUGGACGACUACGAGGCGAACGUGCCCUUCCGCGCGCUGGCCGGCGUGGGCUGCCGCGUGGAGGCGGCGUGCCCGACGAAGCGCAAGGGCGAGCCGUGCGUCACGGCGAUCUACGACGACGUCGCCGUGGCCCCCGGCGCGGUGAGCGACGAGAAGCGUGGGCACAACUUCGUGAUGACCGUGGACUGGGCCGACAUCAACGUCGACGACUACGAGUGCGUGGUCGUGCCCGGAGGCCGGUCGCCGGAGCUGCUCGUGACGAACGAGAAGGCGGUGGCGCUGGUGGGGCAGUUCGCGGCCAAGGGGAAGGUGGUCGCCAGCAUCGACCAGGGGCACCUCGUCCUCGCCGCGGCGGGGCUCCUCAAGGGCAAGCGGUGCGCGAGCGGAGUGCCCAUGAGGGUGGUCUCCAACCUCGCCGGCGCGGCGGCCGUGGAGCCCCAAGGGGCGGUCGCCGACGGGAAGCUCGUGACGGCGGCGAGCUGGCCGGACCUUGCCGAGUUCAUAGCUCGCCUCGUGGAUCUCUUGGGCAUCACCGUCUCGUUCUAA